This 250-nucleotide ribosomal RNA is filed under the name uncultured prokaryote. RNAcentral's name for it is "partial 16S ribosomal RNA". It matches the Rfam family "Bacterial small subunit ribosomal RNA", at positions 524 to 773 of the family's 1533-position model. The record is from RNAcentral.
UACGUAGGGGGCAAGCGUUAUCCGGAUUUACUGGGUGUAAAGGGAGCGUAGACGGAAAGGCAAGUCAGAAGUGAAAUCAUAGGGCUCAACCCUGUAAUUGCUUUUGAAACUGUCUAUCUAGAGUACCGGAGGGGCAGGCGGAAUUCCUGGUGUAGCGGUGAAAUGCGUAGAUAUCAGGAAGAACACCGGUGGCGAAGGCGGCCUGCUGGACGGUAACUGACGUUCAGGCUCGAGAGCGUGGGGAGCAAAC